GAAGCCAUAGCGCAGUGGUAGCGUAGCAGUCUCCAAAACUGUUGGUCCAGGGUUCAAUCCCCUGUGGCUUCA
Molecule: transfer RNA, 72 nt
Rfam family: tRNA
About the family: Transfer RNA (tRNA) molecules are approximately 80 nucleotides in length.
Source: Rfam